UUUUUUUGGGCUUCACCUAUGGCAUACGGAAGUUCCCAGGCAGGGGUUGAAUCAGACUGCAGCUGCUGGCCUAGACCACAGACUGGAUUUGAGCCACAUCCAUGACCUACACCAGAGCUCAUGGCAACAUGAGAUCCUUAACUCACUGAGCAAGGCCAGGGAUCAAACACGCAUCCUCUUGGAUACCACUUGAGUUCAUUAACACUGAGCCACAAUGAGAACUCUGAAAAGUGAUGAAUUUUUGUAGGAAAUAUAGAAGGUUUCAAACCUUUGAGGGACUAUGGCUGUGUAUGUAUAUAUUUUAAAAAUUUUUUUCCAGAAGACAGACUUUGGCCCUUUCUGAGACUUUAGGAGCAUCUCUUCACAGGAUUGCUUUUUCUUAGAAGUUCCUUUUGACUCUUUAGAGUUAGUGGGCACAGGAGAGUCCCAGAAAAGAAACUAGGAGUUGGCUGGCUGCCCAUAAAAUAUUUCUUUUCUAUUUAGGUUAUGCAGUGAAGUUUAUGAGGGUAAAAAGAGUCAGGAAUUCAAGGCUCUUACCUAUAAGUCUCUUAUCUAGAAAUAAAACAAAGCAAACAAUGGAAACUUCCCUCAGAUGAUAUUUGUCAAAAAUCUGAAUACAGCUUAAUAGGCUCAAAAGGUUGAAAAGUCCAUAAGAGAGCUGCUCAAAUCUAGUUUCUCUCUAAUGGGUCUAUAUAAAGUGUCACCAAGCAUCAGUAUGUACCAAGUGGCUUCUCCUUCUGGUCCCUUAUCAUGAUUUUAGAAUGUGAACAGGACUCCCCCUUGUGAUCCUAAGCAUCAUCCAUUUUUAAUAUGCCCUGGGUAACAUCUAUAUCUCUUGUUUCAACUGGGUUUGGAAGAAGCCAGUGACAAAAACAUUGGGCAUGGUGUCAAUCGGUAAAACUAGGCUUUAAAAUAUAAAUUCUCAAAUUUUAGAGAAAUAUUUUAUCACUUUAUUAGCUGAAAUUGAUGAAAUCAUAAAUAACUCAUAAUAAAUGAAGAAUUAUUCCUCACUUUAGCCCCCAAUAUCACUACCUUGAGAGUGAAGCUUCUCCAAGUUUUUACCUGAGAAUGUCUACAUCUUUCCUAAUAUGGUCCUAUCUUUCAGUCUUCUAUGCUUUUACUCUCUCCUUCCAGUUCACUCAGGCUUUACUGCUUAACCUUUCCUUCAAUCCAGUGCCACUUCUUUGCCCUCAGUUUCACCCAUGCUUAGUCCCAGUGAGCAUUCUAUGGCUUCCCAAAUAAAUAUUUUCUUAAGACAGCUUCUGCUAGGGAGUCCUAAGUUAUCUGGAUUGGGUCUAGCCUUGAGUGUGGCAACCAAAUCAAGUGUUUCUUCAAACAAGGAGUGAAAACAACUGAGCCUGUUUUGCAUAGAAACAAGGACUGAAAAUGCACUGAGAAUGCAAUAUAGACACUAUUCCUUGAGCUCACGGCCAACUUCAAAUGAAUGAUAGAAAUGUGUGAUGAGAGGGAGUUCCUGUCAUGGCACAGUGGAAGAAAUCCAACUAGAAACCAUGAGACUGAGUGUUUGAUCCCUGGCCUUGCUCAGGGGGUUAAUGAUCCAGCAUUGGCGUGAGCUGUGGUGUAGGUUGCAGAUGCAACUCGGAUCUAGCAUUGCUGUGGCUGUGGUGUAGGCUGGCAGCUACAGCUCUGAUUAGACCCCUAGCCUGGGAACCUCUGUAUGCCACGGGUAUGGCCCUAAAAGGAAAAAAAAAAAAAAAAAAAGCAAAAAAAAAGCAAUGUAGGGCAAGCAUGAGAGGACCUACCAUGCUAUCCAGAGAAAACCAUGACUCAAAAAGAUACAUGUACUCCAAUGUUCAUUGAAGCACUAUAUACAAUAGCCAAGACAUGGAAACAACCUAAAUGUCCAUCAACAGAAGAGCGGAUAAAGAAGAGGUGGUACAUACACAAUGGAAUAUUAUUCAGCCAUUAAAAGGAAAGAAAUAAUGGCAUUUGCAGCAACAAGAUGGACAUAAAAUUAUCAAACUAAGUGAAAUCAGUCAGACGGCGAGACACCAACAUCAUACGCUAUCAUUUACAUGUGGAAUCUAAAAAAAGGACACAAUGAACUUCUUCGCAGAGCAGAUACUGACUCACAGACUUUGAAAAAAAUAUGGUUUCCAAAUGAGACAUGGUGCGGGUGGGGCGAUAUGCUGGGAGUUUGGGAUGGAAAUGCUAUAAAAUUGGGUUGUGAUGAUCAUUGUACAACUAUAAAUGUAAUAAAAUUUGUUGAGUAAUAAAAAAAUAAAAAAAUCUUCAAAACACUCCAAGAAGCAGAUGUUAUUGCUAGCUGCAUUUCAUAUAGGGGAACCCUAAGAUUUAAAGGGCUUAAGUAACUAUUUUUGAGCACCCUGUAAUUAGUGGAAAUGGGACUUGAACCCAGGCUGUCUGACUCUGAAGCCAACACUUUUAUCCACUAGGCUUUACCAGCAGUUGUGAUCAUGGUAAGGGAAUCUGAAUAGAAUCUGAGUCAGCUGAGGGGAGAGCAGUGCAAUAUAAGCAGCAGAAAUAGCGUCAGAAGUGGGUAGCACUAUUUCCUCUGGAUUUCUGAUCAUUGUUGAGUAUUUCCUUGAGCACAAGGCCAAUCUCAGAUGACUGACAGAAAAGCACAGUGAGAAAAAUAUUCCCUGAAUAAGUUAUGGAGGAUCCAUCUCCAGAAAGAUAAUGUAAUAAAAUUUUUAUUACACCUCAGUGAUUCAAAAAAAAGAUUUAUUGAUUUUAUUACUUUCUUAAAAGAGAUAGUAUAUCUUGGUAGCCUUUAAUUAGUUCAUUAAAAUGAUUUUUGAAUUGUGGCUUUCAAUCACACUUUUCAAUCACACAAAAGAAGAAAAACUGGAAAUGGUUCAGAU
RNAcentral lists this long non-coding RNA (2846 nucleotides) under Sus scrofa (pig). Its description in RNAcentral is "lncRNA (ENSSSCG00040023667.1)". Lineage: Eukaryota; Metazoa; Chordata; Mammalia; Artiodactyla; Suidae. The record is from RNAcentral.